This 837-nucleotide ribosomal RNA is filed under the name uncultured bacterium. RNAcentral describes it as "bacterial SSU rRNA". It matches the Rfam family "Bacterial small subunit ribosomal RNA", at positions 58 to 883 of the family's 1533-position model. The record is from RNAcentral.
CAAGUCGAGGGGCAUCGGGGAGCGAAGCUUGCUUUGCUCCGCCGGCGACUGGCGCACGGGUGAGUAACACGUAUGCAACCUGCCCUCUUCAGGGGGACAACCUUCCGAAAGGGAGGCUAAUCCCGCGUAUAUCGGUUUCGGGCAUCCGAGAUCGAGGAAAGAUUCAUCGGAAGAGGAUGGGCAUGCGGCGCAUUAGCUAGACGGCGGGGUAACGGCCCACCGUGGCGACGAUGCGUAGGGGUUCUGAGAGGAAGGUCCCCCACACUGGUACUGAGACACGGACCAGACUCCUACGGGAGGCAGCAGUGAGGAAUAUUGGUCAAUGGGAGAGAUCCUGAACCAGCCAAGCCGCGUGAGGGAAGACGGCCCUAUGGGUUGUAAACCUCUUUUGUCGGAGAACAAAACCCGGGACGAGUCCCGGACUGCGUGUAUCCGAAGAAAAAGCAUCGGCUAACUCCGUGCCAGCAGCCGCGGUAAUACGGAGGAUGCGAGCGUUAUCCGGAUUUAUUGGGUUUAAAGGGUGCGUAGGCGGUCCGUUAAGUCAGCGGUAAAAUUGCGGGGCUCAACCCCGUCGAGCCGUUGAAACUGGCAGACUUGAGUUGGCGAGAAGUACGCGGAAUGCGCGGUGUAGCGGUGAAAUGCAUAGAUAUCGCGCAGAACUCCGAUUGCGAAGGCAGCGUACCGGCGCCAGACUGACGCUGAGGCACGAAAGCGUGGGGAUCGAACAGGAUUAGAUACCCUGGUAGUCCACGCAGUAAACGAUGAAUGCUGGUUGUCCGGGUCGAAUGAGACCUGGGCGGCGAAGCGAAAGCGAUAAGCAUUCCACCUGGGGAGUAC